Long non-coding RNA from Trichomycterus rosablanca, 601 nucleotides. RefSeq lists it as uncharacterized. The record is from RefSeq and is a predicted model, not a curated record. The transcript is spliced from 5 exons. NCBI's taxonomy places the organism in Eukaryota, Metazoa, Chordata, Actinopteri, Siluriformes, Trichomycteridae.
CAGUGGCAGGCAAGUGGUGGCGAUUCGGUGCGAGACGUCCGCGUGAGGCACGCUGUGAUUAUCCGAGCCGGCAUGGAACACAGUCAGGUCCUCGAAAUGGCGCUGUAGGAUCGUCCAGGGUCUCCAGAUCCUGGUUAUCCUGGAGAUGCAGUGAUCCUUGUGCUCCAGUAUAUCCAGCAGAUUCAGGGUCUUCAAGGGGUAGCAGUGCAGUUCACCGUCUCUCUGUGGCCUGGUGGAGCUUCUGCUGCAGCUUCAUCUGUGGAGUAUACCCAGCAGAUCCAAGGUCUUCAGGAGAUCCACGUGAUCCAGCAGAUCCAGGGUCUUCAGGAGCUACACGUGAUCCAGCAGAUCCAGGGUCUUCAUUGGGUAGCAGUGCAGUUCACCGCCUCUCUGUGGCCUGGUGGAGCUUCUGCUGCAGCUUUAUCUCUGGAGGGAAUCCUGGUGAUCCUGAAUAACCAGGAGCUACAGGUGAUCCUGGUGAUUCAGGGGAUUCAGUGGAUCACAGUGCAGUUCUGCACCACCUCUCCAUGGCCUUGAGGUGCGAGUGUUGAAUUAACCUGCCCCACCACCGAGCUCUGUUCGUCCAUUCUACUCCUAAACA